RNAcentral lists this ribosomal RNA (527 nucleotides) under Fusarium cf. dimerum a DPGS-2011. RNAcentral's name for it is "eukaryotic LSU rRNA". It matches the Rfam family "Eukaryotic large subunit ribosomal RNA", at positions 1 to 538 of the family's 3401-position model. Lineage: Eukaryota; Fungi; Ascomycota; Sordariomycetes; Hypocreales; Nectriaceae. The record is from RNAcentral.
UUGACCUCGGAUCAGGUAGGAAUACCCGCUGAACUUAAGCAUAUCAAUAAGCGGAGGAAAAGAAACCAACAGGGAUUGCCCUAGUAACGGCGAGUGAAGCGGCAACAGCUCAAAUUUGAAAUCUGGCUCUCGGGCCCGAGUUGUAAUUUGUAGAGGAUGCUUUUGGCAAGGUGCCUUCCGAGUUCCCUGGAACGGGACGCCAUAGAGGGUGAGAGCCCCGUCUGGUUGGACACCGAGCCUCUGUAAAGCUCCUUCGACGAGUCGAGUAGUUUGGGAAUGCUGCUCUAAAUGGGAGGUAUAUGUCUUCUAAAGCUAAAUACUGGCCAGAGACCGAUAGCGCACAAGUAGAGUGAUCGAAAGAUGAAAAGCACUUUGAAAAGAGAGUUAAAAAGCACGUGAAAUUGUUGAAAGGGAAGCGCUUAUGACCAGACUUGGGCUUGGUUGAUCAUCCGGCGUUCUCGCCGGUGCACUCUUCCAGUUCAGGCCAGCAUCAGUUUGCCUCGGGGGAUAAAAGUAGCGGGAAUGUG